Molecule: ribosomal RNA, 1350 nt
Filed under: Triticum aestivum (bread wheat)
Lineage: Eukaryota; Viridiplantae; Streptophyta; Magnoliopsida; Poales; Poaceae
Description: partial small subunit ribosomal RNA
Source: RNAcentral
AAGCACUCUCUCCCCGGAUAAGAAGCGCAGCCAAAGCCCCCUCCGCCCAAAACCCCCACCGCGAGCUCUCUCCCCGCCCCACCCAUGGCGACCUCCACCGCCUCCUCCUCCUCCCUCACCGCCCCUCUCCUUGGCCCCAAACCCAGCCCGAAUCCGCCCCCCAGAUCCCUCCCGCUCCUCAGGAGUCGGAGGUGCGCUCGGUCCGUGGCCGCCUCUGCCGGCGGCGGCGGAGUGGGACUCCACGGGGCUGCUCACAGGCGCGGGAUUUGGUCGAUCAGGGAUGACUUGCUGAUGCCUAGGUCGCCCUACUUCCCAGUGGAGGCCGCGGGGCAGGAGCGCGGGCCCUCCCCCAUGGUGAUGGAGCGGUUCCAGAGCGUCGUCAGCCAGCUCUUUCAGCACAGAAUUAUCCGAUGCGGCGGUCCUGUGGAGGAUGAUAUGGCCAACGUCAUUGUUGCGCAGCUGCUAUACCUGGACGCCGUUGAUCCUAACAAGGAUAUCAUUAUGUAUGUGAACUCUCCAGGAGGGUCAGUGACAGCUGGGAUGGCCAUAUUUGAUACAAUGAAGCAUAUCAGGCCUGAUGUUUCCACAGUUUGUAUCGGACUUGCUGCAAGUAUGGGUGCUUUCCUACUCAGCGGCGGGACGAAAGGGAAGAGGUACAGCUUACCUAACUCAAGAAUAAUGAUCCAUCAGCCUCUUGGAGGAGCCCAAGGACAAGAGACCGACCUUGAGAUCCAGGCCAAUGAGAUGCUGCACCACAAGGCCAACUUGAACGGAUACCUAGCAUACCACACUGGGCAGCCCCUGGAUAAGAUCAAUGUAGAUACUGACCGUGACUUCUUCAUGAGCGCGAAAGAGGCGAAGGAGUAUGGCCUUAUCGACGGAGUAAUUGUGAAUCCUCUUAAAGCACUUCAACCACUUCCAGCUUCCAGUUAGUCAUGUCGUGCACAAUCUCUGCCGCUCCAAGCAUUUUUGUUGUGAUCUUCUGGAGCUGUGUUUGUACCACGUUGUUUUCGUUAGUCUGGCUAGAUGCUGUAAUUUUGCAUCAUGAAGCUUCACAGGUUGUGCAGAACAGAUGCACUACUAGAAUAUUCAUCAUUUGCGGUAAGAUAUUUGCAUGUGAGUCAUGUUCUUUUUGUUAAUUUCACUUUCUUAUGGUUCUCUCUGUUUGGACACAAAAUUUUGUUUGAUAUGGGGUGAGACAGGUUUUCUGCGGAUCCAACAGGGGCACCUGUACUAUAACUAUUCUUGAUGAAGCACACUGCUGUUUAUGAUAAACUCACCGCUGGUUGCUGGAAAGCAGAUAGUGCACAGCAAAGCGCCCAGUUUUGAGCUCAAAGAGUGUUAUCAGGC